AGUUUUGCCAAGUGGCAGUAUUGUAGGCAAUGAGAUUUAUCCCAGUCUCGAUUAUUGCUAAUUGAAACAAGCAGACUUGCCUCUAGAUCUAAGAGAUCAGAACUGUGAGAUUCAUUAAAAAUUAAUUUUUUAC
Molecule: small nuclear RNA, 133 nt
Filed under: Heterocephalus glaber (naked mole-rat)
Lineage: Eukaryota; Metazoa; Chordata; Mammalia; Rodentia; Bathyergidae
Description: U4 spliceosomal RNA
Rfam family: U4 spliceosomal RNA
About the family: U4 small nuclear RNA (U4 snRNA) is a component of the major U2-dependent spliceosome. The structure of U4 snRNA from yeast and human has been reported.
Source: Rfam by way of RNAcentral